AUUGAACGCUGGCGGCAGGCCUAACACAUGCAAGUCGAGCGGAUGAAGGGAGCUUGCUCCUGGAUUCAGCGGCGGACGGGUGAGUAAUGCCUAGGAAUCUGCCUGGUAGUGGGGGAUAACGUCCGGAAACGGGCGCUAAUACCGCACACGUCCUGAGGGAGAAAGUGGGGGAUCUUCGGACCUCACGCUAUCAGAUGAGCCUAGGUCGGAUUAGCUAGUUGGUGGGGUAAAGGCCUACCAAGGCGACGAUCCGUAACUGGUCUGAGAGGAUGAUCAGUCACACUGGAACUGAGACACGGUCCAGACUCCUACGGGAGGCAGCAGUGGGGAAUAUUGGACAAUGGGCGAAAGCCUGAUCCAGCCAUGCCGCGUGUGUGAAGAAGGUCUUCGGAUUGUAAAGCACUUUAAGUUGGGAGGAAGGGCAGUAAGUUAAUACCUUGCUGUUUUGACAUUACCAACAGAAUAAGCACCGGCUAACUUCGUG
RNAcentral lists this ribosomal RNA (484 nucleotides) under uncultured bacterium. RNAcentral's name for it is "partial 16S ribosomal RNA". It matches the Rfam family "Bacterial small subunit ribosomal RNA", at positions 30 to 507 of the family's 1533-position model. The record is from RNAcentral.